GGCCUGAUCGCUCAACUGGUGGAGCGCUGCACCCGCGUUGCAGAGAUCAGGGUUCGAGCUCUGAAUUUUUCAGGCCU
Molecule: transfer RNA, 77 nt
Filed under: Acropora cervicornis
Lineage: Eukaryota; Metazoa; Cnidaria; Anthozoa; Scleractinia; Acroporidae
Description: tRNA-Ala
Source: RNAcentral